ACUUGAAUAGCUUAUAUUUAGAGUAUAACAUUGAAGAUGUUAUUGAGGUUUUUAUCUUCAAGUA
RNAcentral lists this transfer RNA (64 nucleotides) under Rugitermes sp. RNAcentral's name for it is "tRNA-Phe". Lineage: Eukaryota; Metazoa; Arthropoda; Insecta; Blattodea; Kalotermitidae. The record is from RNAcentral. RNAcentral also lists the same sequence under 1 other name.